Molecule: ribosomal RNA, 492 nt
Filed under: uncultured bacterium
Lineage: Bacteria
Description: partial 16S ribosomal RNA
Rfam family: Bacterial small subunit ribosomal RNA
Source: RNAcentral
AGUGAACGCUGGCGGUAGGCCUAACACAUGCAAGUCGAACGGCAGCACAGUAAGAGCUUGCUCUUACGGGUGGCGAGUGGCGGACGGGUGGGGAAUACAUCGGAAUCUACUUUUUCGUGGGGGAUAACGUAGGGAAACUUACGCUAAUACCGCAUACGCCCUACGGGUGAAAGCAGGGGAUCUUCGGACCUUGCGCGAUUGAAUGAGCCGAUGUCGGAUUAGCUAGUUGGCGGGGUAAAGGCCCACCAAGGCGACGAUCCGUAGCUGGUCUGAGAGGAUGAUCAGCCACACUGGAACUGAGACACGGUCCAGACUCCUACGGGAGGCAGCAGUGGGGAAUAUUGGGCAAUGGGCGCAAGCCUGAUCCAGCCAUACCGCGUGGGUGAAGAAGGCCUUCGGGUUGUAAAGCCCUUUUGUUGGGAAAGAAAAGCAGCAGGUUAAUACCCCGCUGUUCUGACGGUACCCAAAGAAUAAGCACCGGCUAACUUCGUG